Molecule: ribosomal RNA, 547 nt
Filed under: uncultured bacterium
Lineage: Bacteria
Description: bacterial SSU rRNA
Rfam family: Bacterial small subunit ribosomal RNA
Source: RNAcentral
GGUAAUACCGAAUACAAUUAUUUAACUAAUGGUAAGAUAAUGAAAGAUGCUACGGCAUCGCCAUAAGAUGGGCCCGCGUCCCAUUAGCUAGUUGGCAGUGUAAAGGACUACCAAGGCGAAGAUGGGUAGCCGGCCUGAGAGGGUGAACGGCCACACUGGGACUGAGAUACGGCCCAGACUCCUACGGGAGGCAGCAGCUAAGAAUAUUCCGCAAUGGACGAAGGUCUGACGGAGCGACGCCGCGUGGAUGAGGAAGGCCGAAAGGUUGUAAAAUCCUUUUGCAGACGAAGAAUAAGGCUGGUAGGGAAUGACCAGUUGAUGACGUUAGUCUGCGAAUAAGCCCCGGCUAAUUACGUGCCAGCAGCCGCGGUAACACGUAAGGGGCGAGCGUUGUUCGGAAUUAUUGGGCGUAAAGGGCGCGUAGGCGGCUAUGUAAGUCUGAUGUGAAAGGCAGGAGCUUAACUCCUGGACUGCAUUGGAAACUGCAUGGCUUGAGUCACGGAGAGGGAAUCGGAAUUCCUAGUGUAGGGGUGAAAUCUGUAGAUAU